UCAAUUUGAUGCAGAAUGUGCCGCUUGCAAAAUAUGAGACUAACCGACGUUUUAAUACGCGUCGGUUAUUUUUUUGC
This 77-nucleotide small RNA is filed under the name Pseudocitrobacter vendiensis. RNAcentral's name for it is "Enterobacterial sRNA STnc240". It matches the Rfam family "Enterobacterial sRNA STnc240". Lineage: Bacteria; Pseudomonadati; Pseudomonadota; Gammaproteobacteria; Enterobacterales; Enterobacteriaceae. The record is from RNAcentral.